GUUUUUAUAGUUGAAUUACAACAAUGGCUUUUCGAGUCAUAGGUCUCGGGUAAAGUCCGAGUAGGAACU
Molecule: transfer RNA, 69 nt
Filed under: Dryocopus pileatus
Lineage: Eukaryota; Metazoa; Chordata; Aves; Piciformes; Picidae
Description: tRNA-Glu
Rfam family: tRNA
About the family: Transfer RNA (tRNA) molecules are approximately 80 nucleotides in length. Their secondary structure includes four short double-helical elements and three loops (D, anti-codon, and T loops).
Source: RNAcentral